Molecule: ribosomal RNA, 187 nt
Filed under: Colletogloeum sp. FG.1
Lineage: Eukaryota; Fungi; Ascomycota; Dothideomycetes; Mycosphaerellales; Mycosphaerellaceae
Description: 5.8S ribosomal RNA
Rfam family: 5.8S ribosomal RNA (bases 2-155)
About the family: 5.8S ribosomal RNA (5.8S rRNA) is a component of the large subunit of the eukaryotic ribosome. It is transcribed by RNA polymerase I as part of the 45S precursor that also contains 18S and 28S rRNA.
Source: RNAcentral
AAACUUUCAACAACGGAUCUCUUGGUUCUGGCAUCGAUGAAGAACGCAGCGAAAUGCGAUAAGUAAUGUGAAUUGCAGAAUUCAGUGAAUCAUCGAAUCUUUGAACGCACAUUGCGCCCCGUGGUAUUCCGCGGGGCAUGCCUGUUCGAGCGUCAUUUCACCACUCGAGUCUGACUCGGUAUUGGGC